RNAcentral lists this ribosomal RNA (458 nucleotides) under uncultured bacterium. RNAcentral describes it as "partial 16S ribosomal RNA". It matches the Rfam family "Bacterial small subunit ribosomal RNA", at positions 338 to 795 of the family's 1533-position model. The record is from RNAcentral.
CCUACGGGUGGCAGCAGUGAGGAAUAUUGGUCAAUGGCCGGAAGGCUGAACCAGCCAUGCCGCGUGAAGGUCAGUGGCCUAUGGGCGUUUAAAUUCUUUUUUGCGGGAGCAAUCAUGGUCACGUGUGGCCAGACGAGAGUACCGUACGAAUAAGCAUCGGCUAACUCCGUGCCAGCCGCCGCGGUAAUACGGGGGAUGCAAGCGUGAUCCGGGUUUUUUUGGGUUAAAGGGUGCGUAGGCGGGGAUGUAAGUCAGCGGUAAAAUGGCCGGGCUCAACCCGGGCCGGUCGUUGAAACUGGGGAUCUUGAGUGGGCGAGAAGUAUGCGGAAUGCGUGGUGUAGCGGUGAAAUGCAUAGAUAUCACGCAGAACCCCGAUUGCGAAGGCAGCAUACCGGCGCCCGACUGACGCUGAGGCACGAAAGCGUGGGUAUCGAACAGGAUUAGAUACCCCUGUAGUC